Molecule: unclassified non-coding RNA, 200 nt
Filed under: Piloderma sp. IBPW4RE02IDL02/90
Lineage: Eukaryota; Fungi; Basidiomycota; Agaricomycetes; Atheliales; Atheliaceae
Description: sequence contains ITS2
Source: RNAcentral
UUAAGUUCAGCGGGUAGUCCUACCUGAUUUGAGGUCAAAUUUGAUAUGAAGUUGUCCGAAGACCCAUUGUGAGCGGGGCUUUCGAGAAGUCAGACAGACAGCGCAACAUGAUUAUCACACUGACGUCCGAAACGUUAGAUUCCGCUGAUGCAUUUAAGAGAGCCGACCGAGCCAGCACGCUCCCAAAUCCAAGCUCCGAA